AGUCAUGUAGUAAGUACAAAGCGAACUAUUCUUUCGCCUUUUACUAAAGAAUACCGUGUACUUACUACUUUAAAUGGCAUUCCUCUAUUUUUGGAGGUGACCUUUCCAAAGGUCCCU
This 117-nucleotide small nuclear RNA is filed under the name Trifolium pratense (red clover). RNAcentral describes it as "snRNA U5". It matches the Rfam family "U5 spliceosomal RNA". From Rfam's summary of the family: U5 RNA is a component of both types of known spliceosome. The record is from RNAcentral. Lineage: Eukaryota; Viridiplantae; Streptophyta; Magnoliopsida; Fabales; Fabaceae.